Camellia sinensis is the source of this 470-nucleotide non-coding RNA. The record is from RefSeq and is a predicted model, not a curated record. NCBI's taxonomy places the organism in Eukaryota, Viridiplantae, Streptophyta, Magnoliopsida, Ericales, Theaceae.
GGAGAGAGCUGAAACGGAAGGAGUAGAGUCGGAGGACGACGACGGGCGAGAUGGCGUCGAUUCGGCGGCGAAGCGAGAAUCAUCAGCUCUGAAAGAUGGGUCGUUGAUUCAAGACUUGUAUUCUUCGCUCCAUCCGAAUUCUGUCACCAUCAACCUUGGACUCCCUGGUUUCAUAGCCUACUCUUCUCACAAGCAAAGCCCUCUUCUUCCUCGGUGCCCAACCAAGGUAAUUUGACAGUGGAACAUACUCUAUGUGGCCAUGAAAACCCUACUUCUUUUCUCUUUAUAGUCUUGACAACUCCGUGAUAGCGACAAAAUGGACCCGCAUAUGGAUUGUUGCUUCUCAUAUCAACUGCGAUUCAUCGUCAUCAAUUCAUUUCAUGAUCAAGCAUCGUCGUUGCCGAUCUCCGAGCAUGUUUCAUUCAAGUUACUAAUUCUAACUAGUUGAAGCGAUCUUCUGAUGAUAUUCA